AGUGAACGCUGGCGGUAGGCCUAACACAUGCAAGUCGAACGGCAGCACAGUAAGAGCUUGCUCUUACGGGUGGCGAGUGGCGGACGGGUGAGGAAUACAUCGGAAUCUACUUUUUCGUGGGGGAUAACGUAGGGAAACUUACGCUAAUACCGCAUACGACCUACGGGUGAAAGCAGGGGAUCUUCGGACCUUGCGCGAUUGAAUGAGCCGAUGUCGGAUUAGCUAGUUGGCGGGGUAAAGGCCCACCAAGGCGACGAUCCGUAGCUGGUCUGAGAGGAUGAUCAGCCACACUGGAACUGAGACACGGUCCAGACUCCUACGGGAGGCAGCAGUGGGGAAUAUUCGACAAUGGGCGCAAGCCUGAUCCAGCCAUACCGCGUGGGUGAAGAAGGCCUUCGGGUUGUAAAGCCCUUUUGUUGGGAAAGAAAAGCAGCAGGUUAAUACCCCGCUGUUCUGACGGUACCCAAAGAAUAAGCACCGGCUAACUUCGUG
This 492-nucleotide ribosomal RNA is filed under the name uncultured bacterium. RNAcentral describes it as "partial 16S ribosomal RNA". It matches the Rfam family "Bacterial small subunit ribosomal RNA", at positions 29 to 507 of the family's 1533-position model. The record is from RNAcentral.